GCAACUCGCCUGCAUGAAGUCGGAAUUGCUAGUAAUCGCAGAUCAGCAUGCUGCGGUGAAUACGUUCCCGGGCCUUGUACACACCGCCCGUCACACCAUGGGAGUCGGUAACACCCGAAGUCGGUAGUCUAACCGAAAGGAGGACGCCGCCGAAGGUGGGAUUGAUGACUGGGGUGAAGUCGUAACAAGGUAUC
RNAcentral lists this ribosomal RNA (194 nucleotides) under uncultured bacterium. Its description in RNAcentral is "partial 16S ribosomal RNA". It matches the Rfam family "Bacterial small subunit ribosomal RNA", at positions 1307 to 1500 of the family's 1533-position model. The record is from RNAcentral.